GCACUAAUCGUCUAGUGGUUAGGAUGGCUCCCUUCCAUCUGGAGAGCAAGGAGUCGACCGGCGUUCGAAUCGCCGUUAGUGCA
Molecule: non-coding RNA, 83 nt
Organism: Kwoniella sp. CBS 9459
Lineage: Eukaryota; Fungi; Basidiomycota; Tremellomycetes; Tremellales; Cryptococcaceae
Source: the annotation of a GenBank genome assembly